RNAcentral lists this ribosomal RNA (279 nucleotides) under Triticum aestivum (bread wheat). RNAcentral's name for it is "partial small subunit ribosomal RNA". The record is from RNAcentral. Lineage: Eukaryota; Viridiplantae; Streptophyta; Magnoliopsida; Poales; Poaceae.
UUCCCCGACCCCAUCUCGGGGGACAGCUUCAACAUGAGCUCCCACGAGCCCAAGUGGUGGCUCGGGGAGCCCCUCUGGGUCACCGCCGCCGACCAGGGGGUCCGGGCCUCCACGUUCUUCUGGCCGGGCUCGGAGGUGAAGAAGGGAUCCUGGGACUGUCCAGACAAGUAUUGCCGCCACUAUAAUGGCUCUGUGCCAUUUGAGGACAGGGUUGACGCCAUCCUUGGUUACUUUGAUCUCCCGGUUGAUGAAAUGCCGCAGUUCCUGAUACUGUACUUU